GAUGAACGCUGGCGGCGUGCCUAAUACAUGCAAGUCGAGCGAAUGGAUUAAGAGCUUGCUCUUAUGAAGUUAGCGGCGGACGGGUGAGUAACACGUGGGUAACCUGCCCAUAAGACUGGGAUAACUCCGGGAAACCGGGGCUAAUACCGGAUAACAUUUUGAACCGCAUGGUUCGAAAUUGAAAGGCGGCUUCGGCUGUCACUUAUGGAUGGACCCGCGUCGCAUUAGCUAGUUGGUGAGGGAACGGCUCACCAAGGCAACGAUGCGUAGCCGACCGGAGAGGGUGAUCGGCAACCCUGGGACUGAGACACGGCCCAGACUCCUACGGGAGGCAGCAGUAGGGAAUCUUCCGCAAUGGACGAAAGUCUGACGGAGCAACGCCGCGUGAGUGAGGAAGGCUUUCGGGUCGUAAAACUCUGUUGUUAGGGAAGAACAAGUGCUAGUUGAAUAAGCUGGCACCUUGACGGUACCUAACCAGAAAGCCACGGCUAACUACGUGCCAGCCGCCGCGGUAA
Molecule: ribosomal RNA, 515 nt
Filed under: uncultured bacterium
Lineage: Bacteria
Description: partial 16S ribosomal RNA
Rfam family: Bacterial small subunit ribosomal RNA
Source: RNAcentral